Caenorhabditis elegans is the source of this 206-nucleotide non-coding RNA. NCBI's taxonomy places the organism in Eukaryota, Metazoa, Nematoda, Chromadorea, Rhabditida, Rhabditidae. The record is from Ensembl.
GUGUGCGGCGCCACUGCAAAAGUGCGUGCCGCAGAGUUGCAAUUGGGCGGGGACUUUGGUCCCGCAGCGAAACAACUAGCAAAAAUGUGUGCUCCUUUAAACGCCGCCCGCCGCUUUUUACUUGAUUGUUGUGCCACGUUGCUCUUUUUAAGCUUUUUAAAUAUUAAUAUUGUUAUUUUUAAAGGAUUUAUACUUUGCGGGACAUU